GAUUUUGAUCCUGGCUCAAAACAAACGCUGGCGGCGUACUUAACACAUGCAAGUCGAACGAGAAAGGAAGCUUCGGCUUCCGAGUAAAGUGGCGAACGGGUGCGUAACACGUAAGCAAUCUACCCUAAACUCUGGAAUAACUCUCCGAAAGGGGGGCUAAGACUGGAUAGGGUCCUCGAGAUAUAAGUCGCGAGGGGAAAGCAGGCCUCUGUUAUAAGCUUGCGGUUUAGGAUGAGCUUGCGUCCCAUUAGUUUGUUGGUGAGGUAACGGCUCACCAAGACUACGAUGGGUAGCUGGUCUGAGAGGAUGAUCAGUCACACUGGCACUGAGACACGGGCCAGACUCCUACGGGAGGCAGCAGUGGGGAAUUUUGCGCAAUGGGCGAAAGCCUGACGCAGUAACGCCGCGUGGAGGACGAAGGCCUUCGGGUCGUAAACUCCUGUCAGGGGGAAAGAAGGGCUUGAGGCUAGAAUACAUCUUCGAGUUCUGACGGUACCCCCAAAGGAAGCCCCGGCUAAUUCCGUGCCAGCAGCCGCGGUAAUACGGAAGGGGCUAGCGUUGUUCGGAAUCAUUGGGCGUAAAGGGCGCGUAGGUGGUCUUAUAUGUCCGUCGUGAAAGUGCACGGCUCAACCGUGUUUGGUCGGCGGAAACUGUAAGACUUGAGGCUGGGAGGGGCUGGAGGAAUUCCCUGUGUAGCGGUGAAAUGCGUAGAGAUAGGGGAGAACACUCGUGGCGAAGGCGUCCAGCUGGACCAGUCCUGACACUGAGGCGCGAAAGCGUGGGUAGCAAACAGGAUUAGAUACCCUGGUAGUC
This 813-nucleotide ribosomal RNA is filed under the name uncultured bacterium. Its description in RNAcentral is "bacterial SSU rRNA". It matches the Rfam family "Bacterial small subunit ribosomal RNA", at positions 9 to 795 of the family's 1533-position model. The record is from RNAcentral.